UAGGGAAUCUUCGGCAAUGGACGAAAGUCUGACCGAGCAACGCCGCGUGAGUGAAGAAGGUUUUCGGAUCGUAAAACUCUGUUGUUAGAGAAGAACAAGGACGUUAGUAACUGCACGUCCCCUGACGGUAUCUAACCAGAAAGCCACGGCUAACUACGUGCCAGCAGCCGCGGUAUACGUAGGUGGCAAGCGUUGUCCGGAUUUAUUGGGCGUAAAGCGAGCGCAGGCGGUUUCUUAAGUCUGAUGUGAAAGCCCCCGGCUCAACCGGGGAGGGUCAUUGGAAACUGGGAGACUUGAGUGCAGAAGAGGAGAGUGGAAUUCCAUGUGUAGCGGUGAAAUGCGUAGAUAUAUGGAGGAACACCAGUGGCGAAGGCGGCUCUCUGGUCUGUAACUGACGCUGAGGCUCGAAAGCGUGGGGAGCAAACAGG
Molecule: ribosomal RNA, 428 nt
Filed under: Gemmatimonadota bacterium
Lineage: Bacteria; Pseudomonadati; Gemmatimonadota
Description: Gemmatimonadetes bacterium partial 16S ribosomal RNA
Rfam family: Bacterial small subunit ribosomal RNA
Source: RNAcentral